This 279-nucleotide ribosomal RNA is filed under the name uncultured bacterium. Its description in RNAcentral is "partial 16S ribosomal RNA". It matches the Rfam family "Bacterial small subunit ribosomal RNA", at positions 506 to 784 of the family's 1533-position model. The record is from RNAcentral.
UGCCAGCAGCCGCGGUAAUACAUAGGGGUCAAGCGUUGUCCGGAUUUAUUGGGCGUAAAGAGCUCGUAGGCGGAUUUGUAAGUUGGAGGUGAAAUCCCAGAGCUUAACUCUGGAACUGCCUUCAAAACUACAUUUCUUGAGUUUGGUAGAGGAGAGUGGAAUUCCUAGUGUAGAGGUGAAAUUCGUAGAUAUUAGGAGGAACACCAGUGGCGAAGGCGACUCUCUGGGCCAAUACUGACGCUGAGGUUCGAAAGCAUGGGUAGCGAACAGGAUUAGAUA